This 127-nucleotide small RNA is filed under the name Marmota monax (woodchuck). Lineage: Eukaryota; Metazoa; Chordata; Mammalia; Rodentia; Sciuridae. The record is from RNAcentral.
GCCGGGUGCAGUGGUGCACACCUGUCAUCCCAGCGGCUCGGGAGGCUGAGGCAGGAGGAUCGUAAGUUCAAAGCCAGCCUCAGCAACUUAGCAAGGCCCUAAGCAACUCAGUGAGACCUUGUCUCUA